Molecule: long non-coding RNA, 988 nt
Organism: Helianthus annuus (common sunflower)
Lineage: Eukaryota; Viridiplantae; Streptophyta; Magnoliopsida; Asterales; Asteraceae
Exons: 3
Source: RefSeq, a predicted model, not a curated record
CUCUUUAAAGGCCCGGACAUACAAAGGCGGGACAAAAAACCCUAAUCACAUUUCAAAUUUCAAACCCACCACACACACACACUCUCUCUCUCUCUCUCUCUCUCAAAUUCCCUGUGAAUGAAAUCAGAUCUGCGCAUCAAAGAAGAAGAAGAAGAACAAUCUGUUGCUGAUGCCGAUUCAAGCUUCAAUAUAAGAACCACAAUUUCUUCUUUUACCUCUUUCUCUGUAAACAUCACCACCUGGACAGUUCUGGUAAGCUCGAUCUAGGUUAUCAUACCAGUGACGCAGGCCGGCCAAACUAGGAUUUCGACUCCCGAUCUAUUUCUGCACGUAUGUUCUUCAGACAAUCAAGGUCCAAAGUUUUGGGGAACCAUUCUCUAGCACACAAGAAUUCUAGCAAAAUAAGGGUAUCAGAUCAUUAUCAAAAUAAAAAAGAAUUGGGGAAGCUGCUACUCAGGUAUCCUUUUUCAAAGUUCUUAUUUAACAGUAGUGAUAUUGGUAAAAUUUUAUUCUGCUCUUGGUCAUGGAAGACCAAAUCAAAGCACAAAAUAUCACAAAAUUUGUAGAAGUCUACUUUGGGAAGUUGGUUUUGCUGGGUAUUAAUGCUAAGAAGUUGAAAAAUACCAACAUUGGUCCAUCGCCAAAGUCUGAGCUUAGAUGAGCUGAACUUGAAGCACUAGGUCGAAGGAUGUGCUGAGCAAUAUACCCCUUCAUACCAAGGAUAAAGCUAAUAUUAUUGUGGGAAUAGAUUGAUCCAGACGCAAGAUGAUUUAUUGAACGACCGCCAGCCUGCCAGAAUUCUAUAUACUAAUUUUAUACACUUGGCUUACUGUUGCUCAUAUGUUUUAUUGUAUUCUAUGCUUACUGUUGUUUGUUCUCGAAUUGCAAUUUGGCCGAUUCGUUGAUUGAAGUAUCUUAUUUUGGGUAGUUUUAGUUACACACGUGUCUUCUAAUCGAAGGAUAUAAGAUUUCAAUGUUCAAUAUUGUU